This 878-nucleotide unclassified non-coding RNA is filed under the name Priapulus caudatus. RNAcentral describes it as "uPF0544 protein C5orf45 homolog, transcript variant X1". The record is from RNAcentral. Lineage: Eukaryota; Metazoa; Priapulida; Priapulimorpha; Priapulimorphida; Priapulidae.
AAGUCCUUGAGAGUAUAAAAUGGACUCGGCUAGAAUGUUAGAUAUAUGGGCAAGGAACAGGACCAGAGUGCAGGGAACAUGUUAAGACCUGUAAUACCGUUCAAGGCCAAAAAGAUGAAAUUGCACAUCAGUUGUUAUUAGCCAGUGAUUUUGACCCACAACAAACGGUUUUACAUUUUGACCAACCAACGGGCUCUGAUGAGAUAUCUAGUAAAUGGCCCCAAUUUAUUGAAGAGGAACAGACAAAGACUGAUAUCAUAGAUGCCGAAGAAGACUAUAUUUCUAGCUGGGAUCGCUGCAUCCCAAGUGAUGAUCCUGCUCAAAAAAGAAAGAAAUGUCGACAAAGAUCAUAUGAGGCUAUCAGCAACACUGGAAGCCAAGUUAAUGAUGUGAAAAAGAGAAAGUCCCAUGUAUAUAUUCCCUGUGAUGAGCAGCAAUCAAAUAAGCUUUCAGGAUCCAUACCUGAGUCACGAAUUGUCCCAACAUUUCAACCACGGGCAUCCUGCAAGGAUAACAUAUUGCCAAGCAGUAAUACCCGUGCCCUAGUAACAAAAGAAGAGAUACACUCAAGUGGCAGUAAAUGGGAGCAAUUUUAUCUGUGAAUAUUUUACUGAAAUUAAAAGGUUAUAAAACAUUCUUAAUUACUUUGAAGCCCACAUUAAUUGCUAAAUGCGUGCUACUAGUGGCUAGUGUAAUGACGAAUUAAAUAUACUUUUUAGGAUUAUAUUGUAACAGAUGGCAGGCAAUGUACGUAAAGAGGAAGACUAUUAUAAUGACCGUGAUAUCAUCUGUCCUUACUUCUCACUGUUAAUGUGUUGAAUUAUUUAUUAUGGUGGCCUUGUAUGGAUUUCUUUAUAAAUAACAUGUUUUUAUGCUUA